Molecule: ribosomal RNA, 253 nt
Filed under: uncultured bacterium
Lineage: Bacteria
Description: partial 16S ribosomal RNA
Rfam family: Bacterial small subunit ribosomal RNA
Source: RNAcentral
UACGUAGGGUGCGAGCGUUGUCCGGAAUUAUUGGGCGUAAAGAGCUCGUAGGCGGUUUGUCGCGUCGGGAGUGAAAACCCAGGGCUUAACUCUGGGCUUGCUUUCGAUACGGGCAGACUAGAGGUAUGCAGGGGAGAACGGAAUUCCUGGUGUAGCGGUGAAAUGCGCAGAUAUCAGGAGGAACACCGGUGGCGAAGGCGGUUCUCUGGGCAUUACCUGACGCUGAGGAGCGAAAGUGUGGGGAGCGAACAGG